GCGGGCGUGGUGGAAUGGUAGACACACCGGACUUAAAAUCCGGAGGAGGUAGCUCCGUGCGGGUUCGAGUCCCGCCGCCCGCACCA
RNAcentral lists this transfer RNA (86 nucleotides) under Arsenicitalea aurantiaca. Its description in RNAcentral is "tRNA-Leu". It matches the Rfam family "tRNA". From Rfam's summary of the family: Transfer RNA (tRNA) molecules are approximately 80 nucleotides in length. Lineage: Bacteria; Pseudomonadati; Pseudomonadota; Alphaproteobacteria; Hyphomicrobiales; Devosiaceae. The record is from RNAcentral.